RNAcentral lists this unclassified non-coding RNA (272 nucleotides) under plant metagenome. Its description in RNAcentral is "partial contains small subunit ribosomal RNA, internal transcribed spacer 1, and 5.8S ribosomal RNA". The record is from RNAcentral.
UUUCCGUAGGUGAACCUGCGGAAGGAUCAUUAAUGAGUCGUCAUGGGGUUCGAUGCUGGCAGCCAGUUUUUGGAUGCGUGUGCUUGCCCUAACAAUCAUCUUCUUCCAAACACCUGUGCACAUUUUUGAGGGAGUCUUGAGUUGGUUGCCGCUCUUGGGUGAUUUUCUCACAUUCCCUUAAAUCAUUAUACGCUAUUAACAAUGUUGAACGUGCUCUAUGCCGCAAGGCCAUUAAUAUAAUACAACUUUUAACAACGGAUCUCUUGGCUCUC